RNAcentral lists this long non-coding RNA (2447 nucleotides) under Coffea arabica (coffee). RNAcentral's name for it is "long non-coding RNA (CARA_LNC005811)". Lineage: Eukaryota; Viridiplantae; Streptophyta; Magnoliopsida; Gentianales; Rubiaceae. The record is from RNAcentral.
GAACGACUGAACUGGACAAAACUAGGUAAAUUUUAUAGCCCAGAACAACCUCAACCCUUACAGUAUUAUCGGAGGUUGUGGGGUUCUUCCAUACUGAACAAUUCAAUGCAAUUUAAAGCUCACCUGCCAGAUCAAUGUUAUCCUCAACGUCGAUUUUUGUGGUAUACAGAAUUGCAACGGGUACGCAGUAAGUUUGCCUGUCCUGUAUGAUGGGGGUAGUACUGUUAUGAUUGUUGAAAUUGGUAGCUAUAAAUCCAUUUUCUGAUGAAGAUUAUGAUGUGCUUCAUCAUAGUACUAUAGUAGUGCAAACGUCCUCUAUGCCAAAGAACUUUGCUAGAAUGGGAGAGUUCUUUCUUUGUGUACUUUCACAAGAAAUAGAGGUUUGGAUUGCUCAUAAUGCAGAGGCAGCAAGACCAGAACACGCAAAAUAUUGAUAGGCAACUCUCUGUUGCUAAUUUGGCCGAACAUUAGAAAAGGGUAGAGGUUUUUAGAAGUAUGGCAUACCAUAUCAAGUGCGUACCUGUAUUCCAUGAUGGUUCUUGACCAAAAUGAAUGCAAAAGUAGCCCUUAUACUUAGAUAGUCUGAAACCAAAAACUACAUGAUGGAGUAAGGCAAAAUUCCAUGGUUGUAGCUGUUUACUUUCUGCCUGUUGUGAAAAUUCUGUUUUCUUUCAGAGCAAUGGUAACUAAAAGGCAUAACAUUUAGACCUAAAGACGGAAAGCCUCAGAGAUGGCAUUACGCAUAUCAAAGAGCUUGCACCUAUUUCCUAACUGAUGCUUCCUUCACCGAACACACCUGUGUAAAAGAUUUUGGCAAAUGUGACCGUAUGUGAUUUGUACAAUAUAAGCAUAGAGUCACUUCCUUUUUCUCCCCGUGAAUUUUUGGAGAGUUAUUUCAUGUUCUGUAGGCCAUUCAUGCAUUAUGUCUACAUUAUCACACAACAUUUGUUUUUGUGCAGAAACUGAGAACAAGGUCAAAAGGUCUUUGAAGCUUAUUAAGAGCAUCAACCAAAACAGAGAAGCGAAUCUAAAGAAAAAGAUGGAACUUACUCAGCUCGUUGAGGAUAUCCACAAAGAGUACCAAUCCAUUUAUGCCCUCUAUGAUAAUAUCAGAGGCGAAGUAAGGAACAAAGUGCAUGGAAAAGAUGAAUCAGGUUCUUCUUCUUCUUCAUCUACUUCUUCCUUGGGGUCCAACUCAGGUACAGAAUAUUAUACACCAGAGGAACUAAAUGCUAGAAAUGCGGUACCUAAUGUUGAGCUUCAAAAGGUAAGGAAAAGUGACAAUCGAAAAUGUGAAGAUUCAGAUCCAGAAGAUGCCAUCUUAAAAGAUAAAUUGACCUCCACCAGUGAAAUUAAGAAAUCCCCAAGCGUGGACUCAUUAGUAUCUCUUCACGAAGCACCACAAUCAAGUGUAAUUUUUAAAGAUCUAAGGAUUCAAGAAGAGCAGUCUCAAAGCGUAAGACAAAAGUUACUUGAUGAAUGUGCACAGUUAAAGGAAAAAUUGCAUGAGAAAGAAGAGGAGAUAGUGUCCAUCUCCAAGAAACUCCAAGCUUUUGGGGACCAAAAAUUGUUUGAGAUAGAGGAGCUAGAGAGGCAGGUGACAAGUCUGAAGCUUGAGCUGGAAACAGUGACCUCGCAGAAAAAGACCUUAGAAGAGACAGUUGAGACCAAGUCUAAUGAAGCUAAACAGAUGGGGAAGGAAAAUUCAAGACUACAAAUUCUGAUCAGAGAACUUGAAUCACUAUCAAAAGAGAAAGAAACUCAAAUUUCUUCUCUUCUUGAGAAAUUUGAAGAAGACAAGAAGCAGUCACUGUCUAAAUUUAAGGACCUGAUGGCACAAGCCAGUGAGCUUCAGCUGGAAGUAGAUAGUUUGCGCUCUCAGAAACGCAUAUCAGAAGAGCAAUUGAUGCAUGCAACGAAUGAAGGAUCUAAUCAAGUCAGUAGUCUAGUAAAACAGGUAGAGUUUCUGCAACAGCAACUCGAUUUCAUCAGCAGCCAAAAGUCUGAGUUGGAGUCGCAACAUAAAAAUAAAUCUCUAGAAGCAUCAGAAUGCUUUAUACAGAUGGAAAAGACGAGAGAUAAAUUAACAGACAAGGCCUUAAAUGGGCAAGAGAUAACAGAAGACGAGGCCUGUCUAAAAGUAAAGGUAGAAGAGUUGGAGCAGGAGAUACGUACAAUAUCCAGUCAGAAGAUUGAAUUGGAAGAUCAGAUAAUUAGCACAAAGAAUGAAGCAUAUCAUCUAAAAGUUGACAAUGAGAAUCUCCACAGAAGAAUUUUCGUCUUGGAGACAACUGUGAAAGAGAGAGAACAUGAGCUAUGUGCCCUUCAAAAGAAAAUUGAGGCUCAGGAAAAUGAUAUGUCAACUCAGAUUAAAUCAUUAACAGCACAGAUAAACAAUUUCCAUAAAAAACUGGGAACCUUGCACGAUGAGAAAAGCGGCCUGCAAC